UGUCACAGCUGACUGGGGCAUCAUUAAUGCUUUGGGAAACACCUGCCUCAUCUCUGUGCUUUUCCUACAAUGACAAGACAAAAUGUCUGCUGUGUAAGGCCUGAUAUUAUUGCAAAUAUGAGUCGAUAACACAAGUUUUGGACAAAUUGAACAUUUUGAGUCAGGUAUCUCUCCCUCUUUCCUUGAAAACAAAGAAGAGUUGAUUCUCGAUCAAUUUUCCUUCCUUACAAUCUAGAUGGCAGCUAAGAUAACAAACUGAAGUUUAUUUAUCUUGUGUCUAACAAGAGCCCAACCUGUGUCAGACUUUUCUGGAGAUGCUUCAAGUCAAAAUGGGACCAAACUUUUUUAUGGAUGUCAGUUUUGGAGCCAACACAAAGUCUAAAAUGAAGGCUGCAGCCGACAAGGAGCGGGUCCUCUCCAGUGGUCGGCUUCGGAUUGGCCCUCUGGCACAUCCCCCGCUUCAGAGUCUGGAAGGCCUCCCUCCAGCCUCUGCACAGCCUGCCUAUUAUCCCUGGAGGAGCCUAAGGUGGCAUUGAUCUGGUCUCUGGGGUUCCCUGACAUUGUAACAGAGGGAGCGAGUGCGUCAGAGCAGUCCAUUCUUGGCACAGACGGGCAUAAAUGUUCCUGGACCAGACACAGAGAGGGGGAGGAUGAGCAUGAAGCAAAAGUAAAUCUCAUUCUUCAAGAUGUCGGGACACUUUAGGCCUCCUGGGGGAGGAUGACAUUUGAUCCUGCUCUCAUGAACUUGAUUCAAGGACAUACUCUUUCCCUUCUUUUUCUCCUUCAUUGUUUUGAAGAAAAACAUAACUUAAACCUCUAAAAACUGCAACUUCCUUCAGCCCAUAUUACACUGUGGUUAUAAAAAGGAAGGUCAGCCCUCUUCCUAGUCGACAGCGUUACCUAAUACCAACAUGACCCAAAGUGCACAGAGGACAGGAUAUGAUAAGUGGAUGAUUUCCAAAAAGCUCUCCAGUGUUAGAACGGAAGUGCAUUGCCCAUUUAGAAAGGAAAUUAGUGUUUAAUUUAUCUGCAAGCAAAGGUGGGGUCUGCUCAUUUGACACUUGAGCCUGGACUAGAAACAUUAAAUCCAUGUGAAUUCAAUUGAACAAUAAUGCUUUAUUGGUGAUGAGUAAUGCAUUGUAAGCACCUGUGUAUGAAUUAGGCCCUUUAUCCGCCCCAAUCAAACAUGAAUCAUAUCGAGUCCACGUUUAACACUUCUUCCACCUUAAACUUGCAAUAUUAAAACUUGUAACUUUCAAUUUGCACAAGCCCUUUCUCCACGACUGAACGAGGACGUGGGGUCCACUUUACAGGAUUAGAUUGGUAUUGAUUUCACAGGAGAGUUUAGUGUCCCGUGCUCUUAAUAGUGCUCAAGAAGUAUUUCUGUGGGAAUCAUUAAUGUAAACAAAUCACAGACGUGACAGUUAAAGUGAAUCGCCUCUGACCUGAUCUAAUCCCGCUUCCUGUGUAGAGUAUUGCUACAGGGUGUGAACUGUCAAGAGACCAGGAUUACACCGUCUUAAUCUGGAACAAUAUAUUGGCUUAGUCAGCUUUCUCAGACAUACUGUGUAUGUUUGCGAGGCUGCAUUGAUGAAUAUACACAGGCAAAUUGUUCAAACGUAAAACGUGCUUGCGCCUCAAAGCAUAUCAAUGAGUUGCCGAGACAGGUUUACCCUCAGAGAGUCGCUGAUAUUGUCCCUGUAGAUAAACCUAUAAAUAUCUGUCACUGUCACACCGAGGAGCAGGAGACAGAGAAGUGUGUACUAAUCCUCCACAAGUAAUCAUCAAAGGGCUGCCAAGCUGUCAAAGUAGGCUUCCUCUGAAGUGCAGAGGUAAAAUAAGGUUUCUCUUUGGGGGUGAGACAUAAACAGCAAACUCAAAUAAAAGUGUAAGGGACCAUUCAUGUGAAUUAAGACAUCAAUCAAUACAGAAUAGUGCCACAAAGAAAACUCAAGGGGUAAAAUCUAAUUAUUUUCAGGACAUUAGGACAAUCGAUAAAGUAAAUCCACCAUACUCGUAUAUUCGUACAUGUGGGUGAAGUUGUGUUAGGACGUUUCCACUGUGUGUUUAAGCACUGCUAUGUAUAUGGCUCUGUAAAUCUCUGUCGCCAUCUAAUGGAGAGGGUCAGGAAGUGUUGUGUGGGCAUGUUUGUAGGAGAAACAUUAGAUGUGCCCCAAACCCAUACUAAAUACUAAUGCCAUACAGAAUGUACUACAAACUCAGUGUCAUAGUAUACAGUUUAAGGAGUAAGAAAACCAAACAACGUGCAGAAGUACAUCAGUUUGAUAUUCAGAUCAUGUUUAUGCCAUACCAUUGCCGGAAACUACUUCAUUCUCAGUCCGCCAACGAAAUCCAAACUAUAAAAAAAGAAAAACACACAGCAUAAAUUAAAGUUGCCCCCUUAAAUUAAUAUUUUUAGUCCUAAAUCUGAUUGAAAAAGGUUUAUUUCAGGAAACCUAUCAUAACUCAGUGUUUGUCCGGUAUUUGAAUAGUCUUUAGCAUGCGAUAGCGUUUGUUUUGAUGACCUUUCAUGCUCUGAAAGGAUUAAAUCAAAAUGAAUCUACAUUGGCUCAAAGUAAACCUUUUUUUUGAAAGAAAUUCAACUGAUUCAACACAUAUCUUUAUGUAAAUACCGUUGAAUAUCAUCUUUAUGUAUUCUAGGUUUAGUCAUAAGAAUGAAUUUACAUAGAUCUCAUCGCACAUUCUGUGAUUCAUCUGCAUGCUGUCCCACUGAAUUUACGAACUUAUCAACAAUUCCCUAAACGUGUGAAAAUGAUGCACUUCUCUCUGCAUAUGCGAUCAUCAUACAAAUAUGAUUAAUGAUAAUUUUAUAGCACGUUUUUAGUGAACCGAUGGUGUGACUGUUGAUUAUAGUGAACUUGAUGAUAUUCAGAGUUUGUCUACCUCAACACUUUCACACUGGAAAGAUAUUUGAGCACAGGGUCGGUUUGCAGUUAUAAAGCCAUAAGCACACUGGCCCUGAGUUUAACAUAUUGUCCGUUUAAAAGCCUGGCCUCAAACCAGAAUGGCCCAGUGGACACAAGAGACAGAGCUCGCUGCCAAAACACAUCAUACCCCUAACAUUCAUCUUAAAAUGGUUCAGUAGUGGUGGACAUUAGUGUUUGAGUUAUACUGAUUCAACCUUUGUUCAGGACACCACCACUGGGACAAUUACUCUGAUUUUGGAGCACAACCCAAAUUUGGUCUUGCCAAGUCCUGGCGGCAGUGUCUGGGAUUGCUGAGGUGUCUGAAUGUAUUGUAUUAUUUGUCUUUAUUCUGAGGGUGGGUAAGCUACUUUUUAACUUCAAUCCUUUUUCUCAGCUGCCGCCACAACCACGCCUUACCUGGGAGAUUAAAACCUGAAUUGAGUUUUCUAAAACAGGUGCCACAGCAAGAUUUCUUUUUUAAAUGUUAGUAAAAAGAGGUGUUUUACUAACAGCAGCUCAAGGUUUUAACGGCCUGUAUGAAAGUCUGUUUUAUGGCCUGUAUAUUGCUACUAUAAAUGUAAAUGAAUUAAACAGAAUUACUCUACUUCAAAAGAAAUCGUUGUUUUGAUUUUAGGUUUAUAUUUGUGAUUGUGUAAAUAAAAUCGCGGAAUAUGCUGAAAAUUAGAUUUCAUGCAUAUUCCUAACCUUAACCACUGACAUACAGCUUUUUAAAACUUGAAGAAAUCUACAAACCCUUAAUGAAGCACAUAACGUGUUAAUAUGGAUUAUGUCUACAUCACAACAUAGCUGACAUACACAAAACACUACAAUACCCCUUGACCGAUUUUACUGAUGCAACACCAAAAUGUUGAGCUGCCCUAUUCUUAAUGGUCACUUGUCGUUAGUACUGCAUGUGCUGUCACAUUGUUUGAGAUAAACUAAACGCUCACUGCGGCUGUAUUUCUGCUCACACUGGGUGAUAAGUCAAUCAAUAAAUCAUUGUCCAUUCUUCCCACCUUGUUUUCCUUGUAUCUGCUUAGGUCAGCUAUGCAGUAUUCUUUAAACAGCUUGUCGUAAUACUUCUUGGCAAGUUCUUUUUCCCUGGAAGAGAAGAAGAUGAGAAGAAAUGUAGAAGAAAAACUCUAUAUCUAAAAGCAUAUUGAAUAUUAAAACUUGUUUUUAUAAGUAGUUUUUUAAUGAAUGAUCACCAUGUCAUGUCUUCCUCGUCCUCAUCCUUCCAGAGGAAACGAUGAUUCUCCCGCAGGACAUCGUAAUCUGUUUUGUCUUUAGCUCUGAGAGGGAAAGAAAAGAUUCAAAGAGAAGGCAGUUAAAGGAGAAACUUGCAACUUGUAUAAUUUGUAUUUAACACUGCUGUUGGAUGAAAACAAUGCAAAACCAAAGGUCUGUUACUGUUCACAUAUUCCUAUCCUAGAGUGACAGCUGGAUGACUGAUAGCCAAGCAUGACUGUGAGACACAUUACUUACGCUGUGCGAUGGAAGUCGGCCAUCUGUCCUCCAUAAUAAAGUAUGUAGUCACCAACAAACUUCUUAUGCCGCUCAAACUGGAGACAUCUGCUUAAGGUCAUUCUCUCUUUGAAUGCUAACAUUUUUAUACAAUGUGAAGUGCAAAAAUGUUAGAUGUCUCACAUUGCUUGAAAAUGUGAGACAUCUAAUCAGUUGCUUUUGAUAUAAAGGAAUUCAUUUUAAAUAAAGGAAAUUAUGUACGUAA
This is a long non-coding RNA of Eleginops maclovinus (Patagonian blennie), 4656 nucleotides long. RefSeq lists it as uncharacterized. The transcript has 4 exons. The record is from RefSeq and is a predicted model, not a curated record. Lineage: Eukaryota; Metazoa; Chordata; Actinopteri; Perciformes; Eleginopidae.